GGNUCUUGGGUCGUAAACCUCUUUUCUCAGGGAAGAACACAAUGACGGUACCUGAGGAAUAAGCAUCGGCUAACUCCGUGCCAGCAGCCGCGGUAAUACGGAGGAUGCAAGCGUUAUCCGGAAUGAUUGGGCGUAAAGGGUCCGCAGGUGGCAGUGUAAGUCUGCUGUUAAAGAGUCUAGCUCAACUAGAUAAGAGCAGUGGAAACUACAUAGCUAGAGUACGUUCGGGGCAGAGGGAAUUCCUGGUGUAGCGGUGAAAUGCGUAGAGAUCAGGAAGAACACCAGUGGCGAAGGCGCUCUGCUAGGCCGUAACUGACACUGAGGGACGAAAGCUAGGGGAGCGAAUGGGAUUAGAUACCCCAGUAGUCCUAGCCGUAAACGAUGGAUACUAGGCGUGGCUUGUAUCGACCCGAGCCGUGCCGUAGCUAACGCGUUAAGUAUCCCGCCUGGGGAGUACGCCGGCAACGGUGAAACUCAAAGGAAUUGACGGGGGCCCGCACAAGCGGUGGAGUAUGUGGUUUAAUUCGAUGCAACGCGAAGAACCUUACCAAGGCUUGACAUGUCGCGAAUUGGAGUGAAAGCUUCAAGUGCCUUCGGGAGCGCGAACACAGGUGGUGCAUGGCUGUCGUCAGCUCGUGUCGUGAGAUGUUGGGUUAAGUCCCGCAACGAGCGCAACCCUCGUUUUUAGUUGCCAGCAUUAAGUUGGGCACUCUAGAGAGACUGCCGGUGACAAACCGGAGGAAGGUGGGGAUGACGUCAAGUCAGCAUGCCCCUUACGCCUUGGGCUACACACGUACUACAAUGCUCCGGACAGAGGGCAGCAAGCGGGCGACUGCAAGCAAAUCCCGGAAACCGGAGCUCAGUUCAGAUCGCAGGCUGCAACUCGCCUGCGUGAAGUCGGAAUCGCUAGUAAU
RNAcentral lists this ribosomal RNA (914 nucleotides) under Nostoc commune MUB-Algas 2943. Its description in RNAcentral is "bacterial SSU rRNA". It matches the Rfam family "Bacterial small subunit ribosomal RNA", at positions 413 to 1342 of the family's 1533-position model. The record is from RNAcentral. Lineage: Bacteria; Bacillati; Cyanobacteriota; Cyanophyceae; Nostocales; Nostocaceae.